Small nuclear RNA from Saimiri boliviensis boliviensis (Bolivian squirrel monkey), 141 nucleotides. Its record names the gene U4. It matches the Rfam family "U4 spliceosomal RNA". From Rfam's summary of the family: U4 small nuclear RNA (U4 snRNA) is a component of the major U2-dependent spliceosome. The structure of U4 snRNA from yeast and human has been reported. The record is from Ensembl. NCBI's taxonomy places the organism in Eukaryota, Metazoa, Chordata, Mammalia, Primates, Cebidae.
AGCUUUGUGCAGUGGCAGUAUCAUAGCCAAUGAGGUUUAUCCGAGGCGUGAUUAUUGCUAUUUAAAAACUUUUCCCAAUAACCCGCCGUGAGGACUUGCAACAAAGUCGGCAUCGGCAAUUUUUGACAGUCUCUACAGAGA